RNAcentral lists this ribosomal RNA (314 nucleotides) under uncultured eukaryote. RNAcentral's name for it is "partial large subunit ribosomal RNA". It matches the Rfam family "Eukaryotic large subunit ribosomal RNA", at positions 40 to 350 of the family's 3401-position model. The record is from RNAcentral.
AUAUUAUUAAGCGGAGGAAAAGAAACUAACAAGGAUUCCCCUAGUAACGGCGAGUGAAGCGGGAAUAGCUCAAUUUUAAAAUCGGCUGCCGUUAGGUAGCUGAGUUGUAAUCUAAAGACGUGGCGUCAGUGGCUGAUCUGGGUAUAAGUCCUUUGGAAAAGGGUAUCAUAGAGGGUGACAAUCCCGUCUGUGACCCAGAAUCACUACGUACGACACACAGUCUAAGAGUCGGGUUGUUUGGGAUUGCAGCCCUAAAUGGGUGGUAAACUUCAUCUAAAGCUAAAUAUUGGCGGGAGACCGAUAGCGCACAAGUA